UCCUACGGGCGGCUGCAGUGGGGAAUAUUGCACAAUGGGCGCAAGCCUGAUGCAGCGACGCCGCGUGAGGGAUGACGGCCUUCGGGUUGUAAACCUCUUUCAGCAGGGAAGAAGCGAAAGUGACGGUACCUGCAGAAGAAGCGCCGGCUAACUACGUGCCAGCAGCCGCGGUGAUACGUAGGGCGCAAGCGUUGUCCGGAAUUAUUGGGCGUAAAGAGCUCGUAGGCGGUCAGUCGCGUCUGCUGUGAAAACUCGAGGCUCAACCUCGGGCUUGCAGUGGGUACGGGCUGACUAGAGUGCGGUAGGGGUGACUGGAAUUCCUGGUGUAGCGGUGGAAUGCGCAGAUAUCAGGAGGAACACCGAUGGCGAAGGCAGGUCACUGGGCCGCAACUGACGCUGAGGAGCGAAAGCAUGGGGAGCGAACAGGAUUAGAUACCCUGGUAGUCG
RNAcentral lists this ribosomal RNA (447 nucleotides) under uncultured Cellulomonas sp. Its description in RNAcentral is "bacterial SSU rRNA". It matches the Rfam family "Bacterial small subunit ribosomal RNA", at positions 337 to 796 of the family's 1533-position model. The record is from RNAcentral. Lineage: Bacteria; Bacillati; Actinomycetota; Actinomycetes; Micrococcales; Cellulomonadaceae.